GGCAUCGCUCUACUCCUUUCUAGGACUGGCAGAAGCGCCGAGACUGGUUCUCGGAAGGGCUUCUACCGGUCUACAGAACAUGCCGUCGUCCUCAUGUCCCUUCAUCACUGGAGAUCAUCGCAGCGCCAAAGUGAUUUGGUGUGCUGUGAUGAGCGCCUGAGCUGGCCCACAGCCGCCCGCGGCCGCCUAUUUUAGGUGUUGGCCUGCUUGGGAUAUGGUGGGGGCCGGUAGCUCAGGUGGUUAGAGCGCACGCCUGAUAAGCGUGAGGUCGCAAGUUCAACUCUUGCUCGGCCCACCAGAUCGCAGUUGCGCAGGAAUUGGCGAGAGUUGAUUCCGCGACUGACGGCGUAGCAGGGCGCGACGCCGGUUUGUCGGCGUGCGAGGCGCUGGCGCUUUAGAUCGAGUUCCCUGAUACGGGGCCUUAGCUCAGCUGGGAGAGCACCUGCUUUGCAAGCAGGGGGUCAUCGGUUCGAUCCGAUAGGCUCCACCAUUCUCGCCGGUGGCGGCAUCAGAUGGUGGAAUCAGGUCGGUGGGAAUGGCGAUCGGCGCAUCAGA
RNAcentral lists this transfer RNA (555 nucleotides) under Sphingomonas sp. SLAU-30. RNAcentral describes it as "partial 16S-23S ribosomal RNA intergenic spacer". The stretch from base 222 to 295 matches the Rfam family "tRNA". Lineage: Bacteria; Pseudomonadati; Pseudomonadota; Alphaproteobacteria; Sphingomonadales; Sphingomonadaceae. The record is from RNAcentral.